GUGACAGCAGCCGCGGUAAUACGGAGGGUGCAAGCGUUAUCCGGAUUUAUUGGGUUUAAAGGGUGCGUAGGCGGUAAUAUAAGUCAGUGGUGAAAUCCUGCAGCUCAACUGUAGAACAGUCAUUGAAACUGCAUUACUUGAGUAAUAUUGAGGUAGGCGGAAUGUGUAGUGUAGCGGUGAAAUGCUUAGAUAUUACACAGAACACCGAUUGCGAAGGCAGCUUACUAAGGAUUUACUGACGCUGAUGCACGAAAGCGUGGGGAUCAAACAGGAUUAGAUACCCCGGUAGUCC
RNAcentral lists this ribosomal RNA (292 nucleotides) under uncultured bacterium. Its description in RNAcentral is "partial 16S ribosomal RNA". It matches the Rfam family "Bacterial small subunit ribosomal RNA", at positions 505 to 796 of the family's 1533-position model. The record is from RNAcentral.